RNAcentral lists this ribosomal RNA (683 nucleotides) under Pseudomonas protegens. RNAcentral describes it as "bacterial SSU rRNA". It matches the Rfam family "Bacterial small subunit ribosomal RNA", at positions 72 to 750 of the family's 1533-position model. Lineage: Bacteria; Pseudomonadati; Pseudomonadota; Gammaproteobacteria; Pseudomonadales; Pseudomonadaceae. The record is from RNAcentral.
ACSSGUAMUUGUACCUGGUGGCGAGCGGCGGACGGGUGAGUAAUGCCUAGGAAUCUGCCUAGUAGUGGGGGAUAACGUCCGGAAACGGGCGCUAAUACCGCAUACGUCCUACGGGAGAAAGUGGGGGAUCUUCGGACCUCACGCUAUUAGAUGAGCCUAGGUCGGAUUAGCUAGUUGGUGAGGUAAUGGCUCACCAAGGCGACGAUCCGUAACUGGUCUGAGAGGAUGAUCAGUCACACUGGAACUGAGACACGGUCCAGACUCCUACGGGAGGCAGCAGUGGGGAAUAUUGGACAAUGGGCGAAAGCCUGAUCCAGCCAUGCCGCGUGUGUGAAGAAGGUCUUCGGAUUGUAAAGCACUUUAAGUUGGGAGGAAGGGCAGUUACCUAAUACGUGAUUGUUUUGACGUUACCGACAGAAUAAGCACCGGCUAACUCUGUGCCAGCAGCCGCGGUAAUACAGAGGGUGCAAGCGUUAAUCGGAAUUACUGGGCGUAAAGCGCGCGUAGGUGGUUUGUUAAGUUGGAUGUGAAAGCCCCGGGCUCAACCUGGGAACUGCAUCCAAAACUGGCAAGCUAGAGUAUGGUAGAGGGUGGUGGAAUUUCCUGUGUAGCGGUGAAAUGCGUAGAUAUAGGAAGGAACACCAGUGGCGAAGGCGACCACCUGGACUGAUACUGACACUGAG